This 293-nucleotide ribosomal RNA is filed under the name uncultured prokaryote. RNAcentral describes it as "partial 16S ribosomal RNA". It matches the Rfam family "Bacterial small subunit ribosomal RNA", at positions 505 to 796 of the family's 1533-position model. The record is from RNAcentral.
GUGUCAGCAGCCGCGGUAAUACGUAGGUGGCAAGCGUUGUCCGGAAUCAUUGGGCGUAAAGAGCUCGUAGGCGGCUCAGUAAGUCGGCUGUGAAAGCCCGGGGCUCAACCCCGGAACUGCAGUCGAUACUGCUGUGGCUAGAGUCCGGUAGAGGAAGGUGGAAUUCCCGGUGUAGCGGUGGAAUGCGCAGAUAUCGGGAGGAACACCAGUAGCGAAGGCGGCCUUCUGGGCCGGUACUGACGCUGAGGAGCGAAAGCGUGGGGAGCAAACAGGAUUAGAUACCCCCGUAGUCC